RNAcentral lists this transfer RNA (541 nucleotides) under uncultured Prochlorococcus sp. RNAcentral's name for it is "partial 16S-23S ribosomal RNA intergenic spacer". The stretch from base 212 to 284 matches the Rfam family "tRNA". Lineage: Bacteria; Bacillati; Cyanobacteriota; Cyanophyceae; Synechococcales; Prochlorococcaceae. The record is from RNAcentral.
CAGGGAGACAACAAAAUGUUUAAUAUUAUUAUUUUGUCACCUUAGGUCGAUCGGUAUCUCACGUUCUUAAUUUGUUAAGAAUUUCAUUUCCUAAGUUUUUCUAGGUCACACCCAUUAUUUUUCCUGGGCCAUUAGCUCAGGUGGUUAGAGCGCACCCCUGAUAAGGGUGAGGUCCCUGGUUCAAGUCCAGGAUGGCCCAUAUCUCUAUGUUGGGGGUAUAGCUCAGUUGGUAGAGCGCCUGCUUUGCAAGCAGGAUGUCAGCGGUUCGAGUCCGCUUACCUCCACUGAUUACCACCUCUUCCAUAACUGGUAGAAAGGAAAUGUUUUGAGUUGUGAUUAUUAUUCUGAACGAAUCUAGCUUCAUAAUGAAAUCAUUAAGAUGCUGGACUCAUUGAAUUAAUUUCAUUGUUUUCAGAGAACCUUGACAACUGCAUAGAUUUUUUUAAAGACAAUAAGCAUCUUUAAUGAUGCAGAUUUAUUAUUUGUGCGAAUGCAUUAAUAACAAUUCUAUUAAGCUGAUGCUUCAAUUUUUGAAGUUAUU